RNAcentral lists this transfer RNA (76 nucleotides) under Bacillus atrophaeus. RNAcentral's name for it is "tRNA-Arg". It matches the Rfam family "tRNA". From Rfam's summary of the family: Transfer RNA (tRNA) molecules are approximately 80 nucleotides in length. Their secondary structure includes four short double-helical elements and three loops (D, anti-codon, and T loops). Further hydrogen bonds mediate the characteristic L-shaped molecular structure. tRNAs have two regions of fundamental functional importance: the anti-codon, which is responsible for specific mRNA codon recognition, and the 3' end, to which the tRNAs corresponding amino acid is attached (by aminoacyl-tRNA synthetases). tRNAs cope with the degeneracy of the genetic code in two manners: having more than one tRNA (with a specific anti-codon) for a particular amino acid; and 'wobble' base-pairing, i.e. permitting non-standard base-pairing at the 3rd anti-codon position. The record is from RNAcentral. RNAcentral also lists the same sequence under 1 other name. Lineage: Bacteria; Bacillati; Bacillota; Bacilli; Caryophanales; Bacillaceae.
GCCCCUGUAGCUCAGCGGAUAGAGCAUCGCCCUUCUAAGGCGAGUGCCGGGAGUUCGAAUCUCUCCAGGGGCGCCA